UCAUGAUUUACAUUUGAGUGAGUGGCGAACUGGUGAGUAACACGUGGGAAACCUGCCCAGAAGCGGGGGAUAACACCUGGAAACAGAUGCUAAUACCGCAUAACAACUUGGACCGCAUGGUCCGAGUUUGAAAGAUGGCUUCGGCUAUCACUUUUGGAUGGUCCCGCGGCGUAUUAGCUAGAUGGUGGGGUAACGGCUCACCAUGGCAAUGAUACGUAGCCGACCUGAGAGGGUAAUCGGCCACAUUGGGACUGAGACACGGCCCAAACUCCUACGGGAGGCAGCAGUAGGGAAUCUUCCACAAUGGACGAAAGUCUGAUGGAGCAACGCCGCGUGAGUGAAGAAGGGUUUCGGCUCGUAAAACUCUGUUGUUAAAGAAGAACAUAUCUGAGAGUAACUGUUCAGGUAUUGACGGUAUUUAACCAGAAAGCCACGGCUAACUACGUGCCAGCAGCCGCGGUAAUACGUAGGUGGCAAGCGUUGUCCGGAUUUAUUGGGCGUAAAGCGAGCGCAGGCGGUUUUUUAAGUCUGAUGUGAAAGCCUUCGGCUCAACCGAAGAAGUGCAUCGGAAACUGGGAAACUUGAGUGCAGAAGAGGACAGUGGAACUCCAUGUGUAGCGGUGAAAUGCGUAGAUAUAUGGAAGAACACCAGUGGCGAAGGCGGCUGUCUGGUCUGUAACUGACGCUGAGGCUCGAAAGUAUGGGUAGCAAACAGGAUUAGAUACCCUGGUAGUCCAUACCGUAAACGAUGAAUGCUAAGUGUUGGAGGGUUUCCGCCCUUCAGUGCUGCAGCUAACGCAUUAAGCAUUCCGCCUGGGGAGUACGGCCGCAAGGCUGAAACUCAAAGGAAUUGACGGGGGCCCGCACAAGCGGUGGAGCAUGUGGUUUAAUUCGAAGCUACGCGAAGAACCUUACCAGGUCUUGACAUACUAUGCAAAUCUAAGAGAUUAGACGUUCCCUUCGGGGACAUGGAUACAGGUGGUGCAUGGUUGUCGUCAGCUCGUGUCGUGAGAUGUUGGGUUAAGUCCCGCAACGAGCGCAACCCUUAUUAUCAGUUGCCAGCAUUAAGUUGGGCACUCUGGUGAGACUGCCGGUGACAAACCGGAGGAAGGUGGGGAUGACGUCAAAUCAUCAUGCCCCUUAUGACCUGGGCUACACACGUGCUACAAUGGAUGGUACAACGAGUUGCGAACUCGCGAGAGUAAGCUAAUCUCUUAAAGCCAUUCUCAGUUCGGAUUGUAGGCUGCAACUCGCCUACAUGAAGUCGGAAUCGCUAGUAAUCGCGGAUCAGCAUGCCGCGGUGAAUACGUUCCCGGGCCUUGUACACACCGCCCGUCACACCAUGAGAGUUUGUAACACCCAAAGUCGGUG
This 1371-nucleotide ribosomal RNA is filed under the name Lactiplantibacillus plantarum. RNAcentral's name for it is "bacterial SSU rRNA". It matches the Rfam family "Bacterial small subunit ribosomal RNA", at positions 72 to 1432 of the family's 1533-position model. Lineage: Bacteria; Bacillati; Bacillota; Bacilli; Lactobacillales; Lactobacillaceae. The record is from RNAcentral.